This 85-nucleotide transfer RNA is filed under the name Clostridia bacterium. Its description in RNAcentral is "tRNA-Tyr". It matches the Rfam family "tRNA". Rfam says of the family: Transfer RNA (tRNA) molecules are approximately 80 nucleotides in length. RNAcentral also lists the same sequence under 2 other names. Lineage: Bacteria; Bacillati; Bacillota; Clostridia. The record is from RNAcentral.
GGAGGGGUUCCCGAGUGGCCAAAGGGAGCAGACUGUAAAUCUGCCGCUUCUAGCUUCGAAGGUUCGAAUCCUUCUCCCUCCACCA